UCCUUCGUGGUCCAAUGGCUAGGAUAGCUCGCUUUCACUUCACGCCUCGUCGUGCGUGACCCGAGCCGGCCCGGGUUCGAUUCCCGGCGGGGGAA
Non-coding RNA from Tulasnella calospora MUT 4182, 95 nucleotides. Lineage: Eukaryota; Fungi; Basidiomycota; Agaricomycetes; Cantharellales; Tulasnellaceae. The record is from the annotation of a GenBank genome assembly.